CUGGGAUCUCCCGCUGGAACUCCAGCACAAAUACAAUGGCUGGUUAGGCGAAAAAUUGCCAAUACUUUUUGCUGAAUAUGCAGAAAGAUGCUUUGCUUUAUUCGGAGAUAGAGUU
Molecule: small RNA, 115 nt
Filed under: Paramoeba aestuarina
Lineage: Eukaryota; Discosea; Flabellinia; Dactylopodida; Paramoebidae
Description: partial Cyanobacteria transfer-messenger RNA
Source: RNAcentral